This 460-nucleotide ribosomal RNA is filed under the name uncultured bacterium. Its description in RNAcentral is "partial 16S ribosomal RNA". It matches the Rfam family "Bacterial small subunit ribosomal RNA", at positions 338 to 795 of the family's 1533-position model. The record is from RNAcentral.
CCUACGGGCGGCAGCAGUGAGGAAUAUUGGUCAAUGGGCGGGAGCCUGAACCAGCCAAGCCGCGUGAGGGAAGAAGGUACAGCGUAUCGUAAACCUCUUUUGUCAGGGAACAAAGGCGGGGACUAGUCCCCGGAUGAGGGUACCUGAAGAAAAAGCAUCGGCUAACUCCGUGCCAGCAGCCGCGGUAAUACGGAGGGUGCGAGCGUUAUCCGGAUUUACUGGGUGUAAAGGGGGCGCAGGCGGCAGCGCAAGUCAGGGGUGAAAGCCCGGGGCCCAACCCCGGGACGGCUGUUGGAACUGGGCGGCUGGAGUGCAGGAGAGGCAGGCGGAAUGCGUGGUGUAGCGGUGAAAUGCGUAGAUAUCGGGAGGAACCCCGGUGGCGAAGGCGGCCUGCUGGACUGAGACUGACGCUGAGGCCCGAAAGCGUGGGGAGCAAACAGGAUUAGAUACCCCAGUAGUC